UACGGAGGGUGCAAGCGUUAUCCGGAUUUACUGGGUUUAAAGGGUGCGCAGGCGGAUAUGUAAGUCAGUGGUGAAAUCUCUAGGCUUAACUUGGAAAUUGCCGUUGAUACUAUAUAUCUUGAAUGUUGUGGAGGUAAGCAGAAUAUGUCAUGUAGCGGUGAAAUGCUUAGAUAUGACAUAGAAUACCUAUUGCGAAGGCAGCUUACUACGCAGAUAUUGACGCUCAUGCACGAAAGCGUGGGGAGCAAACAGG
Molecule: ribosomal RNA, 253 nt
Filed under: uncultured bacterium
Lineage: Bacteria
Description: partial 16S ribosomal RNA
Rfam family: Bacterial small subunit ribosomal RNA
Source: RNAcentral